Non-coding RNA from Capsicum annuum, 86 nucleotides. Lineage: Eukaryota; Viridiplantae; Streptophyta; Magnoliopsida; Solanales; Solanaceae. The record is from Rfam.
CUCUGGAGGCAGCGGUUCAUCGAUCUGUUCCCUGAAUAGCUCAACAUAAAGCAACAGAAAUCGAUCGAUAAACCUCUGCAUCCAGC